AAUAGAUACCCGGGUAGUCCUUGCCGUAAACUAUGUAUACUUGGUGUUGUUGGGCUCAACCCUGACAGUACCGUAGCUAACGCGAUAAGUAUACCGCCUGGGGAGUACGCUCGCAAGGGUAAAACUCAAAAGAAUUGACGGGGACCCGCACAAGCAGUGGAGCAUGUGGUUUAAUUCGAUGCAACGCGAAGAACCUUACCUGGGCUUGACAUGCAUUUGACAGUUAUAGAAAUAUAAUGUUCUCGCAAGAGACAGAUGCACAGGUGCUGCAUGGCUGUCGUCAGCUCGUGCCGUGAGGUGUUGGGUUAAGUCCCGCAACGAGCGCAACCCUUGUCGUUAGUUGCCAACAUGUAAUGGUGGGCACUCUAGCGAGACUGCCUAGGUUAACUAGGAGGAAGGUGAGGAUGACGUCAAGUCCGCAUGGCCUUUAUGCCCAGGGCUACGCACGUGCUACAAUGGUCGGUACAGAAGGCAGCGAAACCGUGAGGUGGAGCAAAUCCUCAAAGCCGGCCCCAGUUCAGU
RNAcentral lists this ribosomal RNA (522 nucleotides) under uncultured bacterium. RNAcentral describes it as "bacterial SSU rRNA". It matches the Rfam family "Bacterial small subunit ribosomal RNA", at positions 777 to 1297 of the family's 1533-position model. The record is from RNAcentral.